UCUUUUCCGACAAAACUUGGAAGCGAGAUGAUUGUGUAAUUGAUAUGUCUUGCUUCUUGUGAGUUUACAGGGAUUCCUGGAGUUCUCUUCGUGCUUCCGGAUUCUUAUGUUGAUCCAGAGUACAAAGAUUACGGAGCUGAGUUGUUUGUGAAUGGAGAAGUAGUUCCGCGUCCACCAGAGAGAUAGAGGAAGAUACUGGAGUUAACGACUCAAAGAAGCUCGGAUAAACCGAGGUACAAUGACAAAACCAGAAAUGUUCGACGGAGAGAUAACAUGCGGUCAGACCUUCAGUACUCAAGAGUCUUUUGCUAAACAUCUCCUUUCCCUUUUAACUUCGUUCGCAUGUGCCUUUUUUGGUUUAUGUUAUUUGCAUCACUCUAUAUAUGAAUAAUGUAAAUUGUGAUCAUGAUGAUGAAGCUUAUUUAAUAGUAACUCUUUAUCAUUUAUCAA
Brassica rapa (field mustard) is the source of this 450-nucleotide long non-coding RNA. RefSeq lists it as uncharacterized. The record is from RefSeq and is a predicted model, not a curated record. Lineage: Eukaryota; Viridiplantae; Streptophyta; Magnoliopsida; Brassicales; Brassicaceae.